This 397-nucleotide ribosomal RNA is filed under the name uncultured bacterium. Its description in RNAcentral is "partial 16S ribosomal RNA". It matches the Rfam family "Bacterial small subunit ribosomal RNA", at positions 523 to 918 of the family's 1533-position model. The record is from RNAcentral.
AUACGUAGGUGACAAGCGUUAUCCGGAUUUACUGGGCGUAAAGGGCGUGUAGGCGGUCUUGCAAGUCAGAAGUGAAAUUCCUGAGCUCAACUCGGGCGCUGCUUCUGAAACUGCAGGACUUGAGUGCUGGAGGGGAUAGCGGAAUUCCUAGUGGAGCGGUAAAAUGCGCAGAUAUUAGGAAGAACACCGGUGGCGAAGGCGGCUAUCGGGGCAGUAACUGACGCGGAGGCGCGAAAGCGUGGGGAGCAAACAGGAUUAGAUACCCUGUUAGUCCACGCCGUAAACGAUGAAUACUAGGUGUAGGGGGUAUCGACUCCCUCUGUGCCGCAGUUAACACAAUAAGUAUUCCGCCUGGGGAGUACGGCCGCAAGGUUGAAACUCAAAUGAAUUGACGGGG